This 487-nucleotide ribosomal RNA is filed under the name uncultured bacterium. RNAcentral's name for it is "bacterial SSU rRNA". It matches the Rfam family "Bacterial small subunit ribosomal RNA", at positions 33 to 507 of the family's 1533-position model. The record is from RNAcentral.
GACGACGCUGGCGGCGUGGAUUAGGCAUGCAAGUCGAACGGUAGGAUACCUUCGGGUAUCUGAGAGUGGCGAACGGGUGAGUAACACGUAGGUGAUCUACCCUCAAGAUUGGGACAACCCAGGGAAACUUGGGCUAAUACCGGAUGAAAGCAGCAGCGAUGUUGUUUGAAAGGUGGCGUAAGCUGCCGUUUGGGGAUGAGCCUGCGCUCUAUUAGUUAGUUGGCGGGGUAAAGGCCCACCAAGGCGAUGAUAGAUAGGCGGCCUUAACGGGUGGUCGCCCACACUGGGAUUGAGAUACGGCCCAGACUCCUACGGGAGGCAGCAGUCGAGAAUAGUCUACAAUGGCCGAAAGGCUGAUAGUGCGACGCCGCGUGAACGAAGAAGCCCUUCGGGGUGUAAAGUUCUUUUAUAUGUGAGCAGUGACAUCUAUAUUAAUAGUAUGGGUGUAGAGAUAUUAGCAUAUGAAUAAGCAACGGCUAACUCCGUG